UACGGAGGGGGCUAGCGUUGUUCGGAAUUACUGGGCGUAAAGCGCACGUAGGCGGCUUUGUAAGUUAGAGGUGAAAGCCCGGGGCUCAACUCCGGAAUUGCCUUUAAGACUGCAUCGCUAGAAUUGUGGAGAGGUAAGUGGAAUUCCGAGUGUAGAGGUGAAAUUCGUAGAUAUUCGGAAGAACACCAGUGGCGAAGGCGACUUACUGGACACAUAUUGACGCUGAGGCGCGAAAGCCAGGGGAGCGAACGGGG
This 254-nucleotide ribosomal RNA is filed under the name uncultured bacterium. RNAcentral describes it as "partial 16S ribosomal RNA". It matches the Rfam family "Bacterial small subunit ribosomal RNA", at positions 524 to 777 of the family's 1533-position model. The record is from RNAcentral.